UUCAAUAAUUUAUAUAGAUAUUUAAAAUUAGUUAUUUUUUAUAUAUUUGCAUUCUUUAUAUGUAUAAUCUAUGAGCUCACCUAAUUUCUGUAGGUAUGCGCAGGUCGCAUAAAACAGUUAGGUGGGCCUCAUGUGGCCUGUGGGCCGUAAUUUGCACACCUCUGAUCUAGUAUAUCCGAUCCAUGUCUCUUAUCUAUGAGUAUAUGAUCUAUUUGAUUCUGGGUGUUAAAUCGAGUGAGAUCCAGGUUACCUUGUGAAUACUCUCAUGUUAAAAUUUAGUGUUGCAGAUAGACAUUCCUUUUCCUGAUGCAAAAUUCACUAAUCUUAUGCCAUUAUUGUUGGACUAUUCAUGUAAGCUUUCUUUGCCAAUUGUUGGUCUGUAUGCUGGUUCUUUUCCAAUUUUUGCAUUAAAAUCUCCUUGGAUUUAUUUUGAUGUCAUGCUUUGGUGCUUCAUCAUACAUUCUUUCCAGUCCAUCAUAGAAGGCUUCUUUUGUGUUACCAUCUGCAUCUUCAGUAGGGGUAUGGACAUUGAUGAAUAAUAUGUUGAAGAAUUUUCCUCUCAAACGUAGUGAGCAGAGUCUAUUACUUACAGUAUCUGCACUAUUCAACACAUUCAGAGAGGAAGCAGCAGCUCAAACUUCAACAUUUUUGAGUCUUUCAAUUUUGCUGUUGUCACGUUCUCCACUGUUGGCUAUGGAGAUGUUUCCUCUGACAUUUGGCUGGGCUGACUCUUAAUGAUUCUAACCAUUUCCCUGGCAUUUGUUUUUAUACCUAGCCAGAAUAGAGAUGUAAUUCUGCUGUGUCCCCGUGAGUUGGAAACCAGUAAGCAAGUCUUCUAAUAGAGGUCUGAUAGAGUCAUGUACAUCAAGGGAUCAGCACUAAAAGAUGUGGACCUGAUGUGGUGUCAAGCUGAUGAAGCUUUUGCUUGCUUCUUUUGGCUGUUCGUUUAACACAAGACAAAGUACAGACUAUUCUAGUGAAGAAAGCUACUGUCAGGAAGUACCAGAUGUAUGGUCACCUGUACGAAGACUUAUGUCGACAGGUAGGCAAGUACCAUUUGCUAUCUACAGAACCCAGUCAGUGGACAACCUAGAGGUAUAUGAUUCAAGUUCUUCUGGACAUAAAGCUGACCACAACAGUUAAACACAGAAAAGUGAAGACUGUGUGUGGAAGUUUGCCAGAGCCAAGCUUUGGAUUUCUUUCAUAGAGCAAGGGACAACACUCUCAAUACAUUUGAUAUCAUUCCAACACCUAUAGCUGUGGUGAGACUAUUUCAAGGUCUCAGGACUGUAUUUCUUAUCAAUCGGUAAUCAUGCAUCACGUGCCCUCAGAUAUGUACACAAAAUGAAGUUUGAGAAGAAAGAGAAAGGAUCAAGAUGAUUUACAAGACACUAAAGAAGUUAUCUAUCAACUAUACUCAAUGUAUGGACGACUUGCAGCCAGACUAGAAUUAUAGAGUAAGAUGUUUUUCUGCUGGCUAAACAUGUAUGGGUAUGUUUGUCUGUCUUUCAUUAUGUCUAUCUAAAAAAUAAUUGUUUUUGUUUGUAAUGUUGUUACAGUGCCUUGAGCUUACAUUUUGUUUGUUAACAGCGCUUUAUAAAUAAAAUUAUUAUUAUUAUUGUUAUUAUUAUGUAAUACCUAGGAUUCUUCAGUUGUAAUACCUAGGAUUCUUCUGUUGUAAUACCUAGGAUUCUUCUGUAGCAUCUCAAUUCCAUUGCUAGGAUCCUCCUCUCUAGCUCUGCAGUCAGCGUCCAAGACUCACAUCCAUCCAUCCAUCCCAGUGGCGCUACAGCCCAUGGAGGGCUCUGGCCUGCUUUAACACAUCCUUCCAUUCAGAUCUCUCCUGGGCCUUUCGUCUCCACGCCCUAACCCCAAGCUGCUUCAGAUCUGCUUCCACGUCAUCUAUCCAUCGCAUUCGGGGUCUGCCUUUGAGUCGCCUGCCUUUUGGUUUUUGCCUGUAUACGAUUUUCACCCCUCUGUUGUCUGACAUUCUUUCAAGGUGACCUGCCCAACGUAGUCUGUUCUUUUUUAUUUCGUUCACUUUUGGUGGGUCUUCAUACAAUAGAUAUAUCUCAUGGUUAGUGCGUGUCCUCCACCCUGUUUCAUCCUGUAUGGCACCAUAGAUUUUCCUAAGAAUUUUUCUUUCCCAAGUGUUAAGUAAAUUUUCAGAUGUCUUUGUCAGUGUCCAGGACUCACUUCCAUACAUUGCUGCUGGUCUUAUUAUAGUUUUGUAUAUUAUUUUCUUGGUUUUCCUUGAAAUCGUUUUCCUUGAAAGUUUGGAUGUUUUCAAAUUCGUGGUCUUUGAUUUUGAUAUUUUGUCCCUCUGUUUGAUUGUCUCUUGUCAUUGUAAUGUACUUGGUUUUACUGUCAUUGACCUCAAGUCCUGCUGGUCGAGAUGCUUCUUCUAGUUGUAUGAAGGCUCUAGCCAUGUCAGAGGUUUCUUUACCCAAUAGGGCAAUGUCAUCGGCAUAAGCAAGGUAUUGUAGAAAUUGGCUGUAUAUCAUCCCUGUUGGUUGUGGACCCGUGUUUUCUCUCCUGAAGUAGUUAGUAAUAGUUCCCCUUGUGUUUGUGUGUAUAUUUCUUAUAACUCUCUCCAGUGUUAAAUUCCAGUGAGUCUUCUCCUUGUAUUAUGACUUUGCUUUUUGAGUUGUUUAAUGUCAUAUGUAUAAGUCUUGUCAGCUUGUUGGGUAUUCCAAAAUCCUGUAGAGUGUCUUAUAGGUAUUUCCUUCUGAUAAGUCAUUUUAUAGUCUAUAAAGAGUUGGUGGAUUGGUAUGUUGUAUUCAUGGCAUUUUUCUAGUAUACAUCUUAGUGUGAAGAUGUGGUAGGUUGUGGAUUUGUUGGGUCUGAAACCACAUUGGUAGUCACCUAAGAUUUCUUCUGAAUAUUUUCCAAGUCUCUUAGUUAUAAGCCUAGACAGUAUCUUAUAAGUCACAUUUAGUAGAGAGAUUCCUCUGUAAUUACAGCACUUUAACUUGGAUCCUUUUUUGUGUAUUGGGGUUAUAAGAGCCGUUUCCCAUUCUGUUGGUAUUACUUCUUCUUCCCAAAUUCUUGACAUUAGUCUGUGUAUUUGGGAAUGUAAGUCUUUCCCUCCAUAUUUAAUUAGUUCUGCUGUGAUUUGGUCCUCUCCUGGUGCUUUGUGAUUCUUCAUGGUCCUAAUUAUUUCUGAUGUUUCAAUGAGUGUUGGAGGGUUCACUAAGGGAUCUGGUCCCCCAUGUGGCAGUUUAUAUUCUCCAUUAUCUCCAUCUUCAGUGGUAUUUAGGAUCUCCUCAAAGUAUUCAGCCCAUCUCUCAAUGACCCUGCUGUUUUCUGUAAUAUAGCAUGCUUUAUUAUUUCCCUAUGCUCAUUUAUGUUAUUUUCGCUGUCCUUUUCUAAUGUUGUCAGUUGCGUUUGGAGUGCCAUUCUAUAAGUUUCUGCAACAAGUGGAUCCUUUGUGAGUUUUUGACUAUCAUAUUGCUGUGCUCUCUUUCUUUGGUAAUUGUGUAUGGUACUUAUUCUUUGUCUAAGUUUAGCUUUUACUAGUAGGUGGUCUGAGUCAGCAUUAGCUGCUCUGAAACUUCUAACAUCUAGUAUGUCUGAUCCAUGAUUCUUAUCUAUGAGUAUAUGAUCUAUUUGAUUCUGGGUGUUGCUAUCAGGUGAGAUCCAGUUAACCUUGUGAAUAUUCUUAUGUUGGAAUUUUGUGCUGCUGAUAGACAUUCCUUUUCCACUAAUCUUAUGCCAUUAUUGUUGGUCUCUUCAUGUAAACUUUCUUUGCCAAUUAUUGGUCUGAAUGCUGGUUCCUUUCCAAUUUUUGCAUUGAAAUCUCCUAGGACUAUUUUGAUGUCAUGCUUUGGUGCUUCAUCAUAAAUUCUUUCCAGUUCAUCAUAGAAGGCUUCUUUUGUGUUAUCAUCUGCAUCUUCAGUAGGGGCAUGAACAUUGAUAAAUGAUAUGUUGAAGAAUUUUCCUUUCAAACGCAGUGAGCAGAGUUUAUCACUUACAGGUUUAAAUCCAAUGACAUUACCUACCAUUUCCUUUUUAACAGCAAAACCUGUACCUAAGUUGUUAGUGCUUCCACCACUAUAAAAUAUAGUAUACUCCUUGGUUCUGAGAAUGUCCGAGUCUUUCCACCUGAUUUCCUGUAGAGCUACAAGCGGUAUUCUAUAUUUCUUUAACACUUCAGUAAGUUGGGCUAGCGCACCUGCUCUAUAAGGCUUAGCACGUUCCAUGUCGCAAAACAAAAAUCAUGUCCUUUUCCAGGCCUAGGUCGUUUUCCGUUGUGGAGUUUUGAUCUCCCAUCGAGCGCCUCCCCAGGUGGUGGAUAGGGGAAUGCCCUCUAGAUAUGGUGGGUACCGGGGAAAUAAAAUACCCGGGGUGGACCAAAAUCAAACCUGCUGCCUUGCAGGAAGUGGAGGGAUCCACAAAGGCUAGGGCACUUUACCCGAAAAUAAAGGCAGCUAUCUAGAGAGCUGAAAGGGGCAGCCCCCCAGAUGGUUAUGCACAGGGCUAACAACUCUGUCAUACAAAAAAUACUGUUAUGAAAGCUAAUACACACAAGAAUUCCCCUAUCACUAAGACUUUAAACACAUUAUCUUUUAUUUGUCAGCUGAAUCCCUUCAUUAUCUCAUUAACAGUUGUUCUGAUAAAGAUGCAGACCAAGUUCUCUAAAUUAGAUCAGCAUACAGACUAAUGAAAUAAUCUCCUAUGAGUUACAGGCAAAACUUAAACUCUACAUAAAUUUUUUUUUCUUUUGGAUAAUAUUACAAACAGGAAUGGAAAAUAUGGCCAACAGAUCUUGUGUGGUGCCCCAAUGGUCCAACAACUAAGGGAUGGGUUAAUAUGAUAAUACAUAAUAGGUUAGCUAAAACUUACAGGUUAAUUCAGGAAAUUAAGUUAACUUUCUAAUUAUUAUUUUUUUUUGUACUAAAACUUUCUUUUUAAGUACUAAUUUGAUUAAACUAUUUAAAAAAUAGCUUUCAGUUCCAGUGUCUACACUAAUCUUCUUUGUCCAGGUCAUUAAUUGUAAAUGUU
This is a long non-coding RNA of Biomphalaria glabrata, 5004 nucleotides long. RefSeq lists it as uncharacterized. NCBI's taxonomy places the organism in Eukaryota, Metazoa, Mollusca, Gastropoda, Planorbidae. The transcript is spliced from 7 exons. The record is from RefSeq and is a predicted model, not a curated record.